This 325-nucleotide ribosomal RNA is filed under the name uncultured eukaryote. RNAcentral describes it as "partial 18S ribosomal RNA". It matches the Rfam family "Eukaryotic small subunit ribosomal RNA", at positions 1470 to 1796 of the family's 1831-position model. The record is from RNAcentral.
CCCUUAGAUGUUCUGGGCUGCACGCGCGCUACACUGAUGCGCUCAACGAGUUUUAACCUUGCCUGGAAAGGUUGGGUAAUCUUUUUAAAACGCUUCGUGAUGGGGAUAGAUUAUUGCAAUUAUUAAUCUUCAACGAGGAAUUCCUAGUAAGCGCGAGUCAUCAGCUCGUGCUGAUUACGUCCCUGCCCUUUGUACACACCGCCCGUCGCUCCUACCGAUUGAGCGAUCCGGUGAAUAAUUCGGACUGCAGCACUGCUUGGUCUCCAGGCUUUGCAGCGGAAAGUUUAGUGAACCUUAUCACUUAGAGGAAGGAGAAGUCGUAACA